CUAAUCCUUCAGCUGAACGCUGAUAUAGAAAUGACUUUCAUUUCCUUUGUGGUAUAUAUUCAUCAGAGUUAAAAAGAAAGGAAGGAAGGAAAAGAAGGAAGGAAGAAAGGAAGGAAGGAAAGGAAGAAAGAAACACAGCAGGCAGUGAAGUGCUUAGAGCCCUCCCCUCCUCACUUUCUGAUUUGGAAGAUGUAUUUACAAAUCACAUUGUACAGGAGGCUUCCAGACUUUGAAUACCCGUAAGCAAGCAUUGACAUGGAAAAACACUGAAGAAGAUGAUGAAAUCCUACUUUCAGAAGUCUGAAACUGCUCAUCAUAAAACAAAGGAAAAAAAAAGGCUUCCUCAUUCAUAGUAAGAAAUAAACUUGCAGACCCACUCAGGACCACUGAAGUUCAAAAGAAAGUUUAGAGGCCUCACUGAAAAAACAUGCACUCAUACUACAGAAGAAAAUCGGUCCAAAAAUAGGCCCAAUAUGAU
RNAcentral lists this long non-coding RNA (478 nucleotides) under Gallus gallus (chicken). Its description in RNAcentral is "lncRNA (ENSGALG00010017427.1)". Lineage: Eukaryota; Metazoa; Chordata; Aves; Galliformes; Phasianidae. The record is from RNAcentral.